ACUUUCUAUGGGGGUACAUUACAACAAAUCUUCUUUUUCUGCAGCAUUGCUUCUAUGAUCUUAGGAGCACUGGCCGCCAUGGCCCAAACGAAAGUCAAAAGACCUCUAGCUCAUAGUUCGAUUGGACAUGUAGGUUAUAUUCGUACUGGUUUCUCAUGUGGAACCAUAGAAGGAAUUCAAUCACUACUAAUUGGUAUAUUUAUUUAUGCAUCAAUGAUAGAUGCAUUCGCCAUAGUUCCAGCAUUACGGCAAACCCGUGUCAAAUAUAUAGCGGAUUUGGGUGCUCUAGCCAAAACGAAUCCUAAUAUGAAAUUGUAUCAAAUAACUUUUAUCAUAAAACUUUAUCACAUAACUUUUAUCAUAUAA
This 366-nucleotide ribosomal RNA is filed under the name Triticum aestivum (bread wheat). Its description in RNAcentral is "partial small subunit ribosomal RNA". The record is from RNAcentral. Lineage: Eukaryota; Viridiplantae; Streptophyta; Magnoliopsida; Poales; Poaceae.